UGCAAAUCUCUCCCUCAUUUUUCACUUUAAAAAAGGAACUUCCUCAUCUAACAAGAGGUCUUCUCAUUUACUGCAUUCCUCCUCUCACACUUCAAGCCGCAGACAACACCUACACCAACAUAAAUCUUCCUCUCUCAUUCUCCAAACAACAAGAACUCAUAAUAACACUUAACCACCUUCAUCACCAUACAAAAAAAAACUUGCUGGAAAACCUUCCACUUUUACCACCGUCUCAUAUGUUCUUCUUCCUGAACAUUUUUUUUAUCUCUGAAAAUGUAAACCACAAACCAAGUUUCAUCACCUUAUUAAAACACUCUCGUAUACACACUUUCAACCUUCCAUUUUUCACCUCUUAUCAACAUACAAAGCUGCUACGAUCCCAACCAUCUAUUCAUAGAAAAAAAAUCGUGACCUAUGUUCAACACCAUCAUGUGAACAAACUCCGACAACUCCUCCAUAACCAUCCUUCAAAAACUUCCCAUAACUACUUUCCCUUCGUAACUCUCUUUGGAAAAGAAGAACUUGCAUGUUCUUUACUAACUCACUAAAUCUACACUUUUCAUACUCACAAAAAACUAAACAAUAACCUUACUCCAUCAUGCUCAAACUUACGCCACCGUCCGUCUCCUUCACAUAUCCGAUCGUUUUCAUCUUCCUUCGGUAACUCUUCUCAUCGUUUUUCUUUGUUUGCUUUUGAUUUUGUUUAUGUUGCAAAUAUUUUUUUAGUGAACCAUGGAAGAUGGGAGAUGUUGUUAUGUUGAGAGAAAUAAAACGAUAAGCGUUGAGACAAGAGAGGGAAAGGAAUUCUAAUUUUUAUUUUUUUUCUCAUUUCAUAUACUGUUUUGUUUAUUUGUUUAAAUUAUAUGCUAUGUAUCAUUUAGGCAUUGAUUUUGCUUUUGAUUUUGAAAAGGUCAACAACUUAUUUAUUAAUAUUGCUAUUAUAUAUAAUAUUAUUA
This 956-nucleotide long non-coding RNA is filed under the name Lathyrus oleraceus (garden pea). RNAcentral's name for it is "Pisum sativum (pea) long non-coding RNA (PSAT_LNC042300)". Lineage: Eukaryota; Viridiplantae; Streptophyta; Magnoliopsida; Fabales; Fabaceae. The record is from RNAcentral.